Molecule: transfer RNA, 73 nt
Filed under: Patescibacteria group bacterium
Lineage: Bacteria
Also listed under: 1 other name
Description: tRNA-Lys
Rfam family: tRNA
About the family: Transfer RNA (tRNA) molecules are approximately 80 nucleotides in length. Their secondary structure includes four short double-helical elements and three loops (D, anti-codon, and T loops). Further hydrogen bonds mediate the characteristic L-shaped molecular structure. tRNAs have two regions of fundamental functional importance: the anti-codon, which is responsible for specific mRNA codon recognition, and the 3' end, to which the tRNAs corresponding amino acid is attached (by aminoacyl-tRNA synthetases). tRNAs cope with the degeneracy of the genetic code in two manners: having more than one tRNA (with a specific anti-codon) for a particular amino acid; and 'wobble' base-pairing, i.e. permitting non-standard base-pairing at the 3rd anti-codon position.
Source: RNAcentral
GCCCCUGUAGCUCAGUCGGUAGAGCAGCUCCCUUUUAAGGAGAUGGUCGCAGGUUCGAUUCCUGCCGGGGGCA